Molecule: long non-coding RNA, 6619 nt
Filed under: Marmota monax (woodchuck)
Lineage: Eukaryota; Metazoa; Chordata; Mammalia; Rodentia; Sciuridae
Rfam family: tRNA (bases 6388-6460)
Source: RNAcentral
GGCAACUCUAAUAUAAAGAAUUACAAGUGCUAUGAUAGGGGAACAACAGGAGACAAGGAAGGGGCUCUUGCCUCUCGCAGUGGUGGCCUGCUGGGGAAAGUAAGCAUUCCAGUCUCCUGCAGGGCCUGGGGAAUUGAACCUGUACUCAGGGCACUAAGUGACCACUGAGGCUGGAUCAGCACUACACUGAAAGCUAAAGUUUUAUAUUAAAGUUUGCAUUCAAAUGAUGGGAUACCCUCUGACCUUUUCAGCUAGAAGACUAGAAGCCAGACUCAUACCACCCAAGAAGUAGCCUGGAGAUUCUUCUCUGGAGAACCUGAUAUUUGGAAGCCCCUCCAAUACAACAAUUGGGACUCCAUCUAGUUUCCACAUUAUGAAGCCCAUCUGUCCCUACUCAGAUUCCAACCAUAGUCAGUGCUUCACUCUUAAACAUGAACAUUUAGGAGGGACAUAAACUGGAAGAAAAAACAAAAGACAAAGCAGCAAAUAAAUGGGGACAGGGAAGCAUUUGGAAGAAUCAGAAGCAAUGCAAGAAAAAGCAAAGAAGACUCAGUGGGGAAAACACCUAUAAUUAACAUCAUCAGAAAGAAAGAACAGUACAUCCAUGAAAUAAUGUACUUUUAAAUUUUUUUAAAAGAAGAAAUUAAAAAUAGCAAAAAGUUGUGUGUGUUUGUACCAGGGAUUGAACCCAAAGAUGCAUAACCACUGAGCCACAUCCUAGCCCUCUUUUAUUUUUUAUUUUGAGACAGGGUUUUGCUAAGUUACUGAGGCUGGCUUCGAACCUGUAAUCCUCUUCCUGAGCCACUGGGAUUAUAGGCGUGUACCACCAUGCCCAGCAUGAAAAGUUUUUUCAAAAAGUUAAUGGAAGAGCUGAAAGAGAAUGAUUGAGGAACUCUCAAAGACAUAACAAAGGAGAAAUAAAAGUGAAUGGAGUUUUAAAAAAAGAAUUAAGUAAUGAGAUCCAACUCUGACUAUAAGAAAGACAAAAGACAGAAAAAGAGGAGAAAAAUAAUUUAAGAAAUAUCAGAACAAAUUUUAGAACCGAAGAAUUUUCUUAUGAAGACUAAAUGAGCCCCUAAAUGCUCAACGAUAUGAAUGAAGAAACAAAAGACUACACCAGGCUCAUUACCACGAUAUUUUACAACAUCUGAGAUUUAAAGAUCCUGAGUUGGGGGCAGGUGACAAAGAAUCAGGAAUAAAAUUGACAUUUAGGUUUUUUCAAAGCAAUGUUGAAAACUAGAAGAUAUUUCCUUCAAAAUUCUCCAAGAAAAUUAUUUCUAAUUUAGAAUUCCACAUCCUACCAAUCAAUUAUGAGGGUAAACCAAGGCAUUUUCAGACAAGCAAGAACUGAAAAUGCAAGGUUUUACUUCCCUCAUCUUCUGUCUCAAGAAGCUUCUAAAGCCGUAAAGUUGAGAAUAAAUCAGGGAAAGAUCAAGGAACAACACAGAAAACAGAAUACCCACCACAGAAGACAGGCAAAGAGAAUUUUAGAUGGUGAUAAAGCUUGAGAUGACAACUAGGCAGUGGGCCAAGAACAACCAGUUCAGACUAGAAUAGAGGAAGAAGGAGUAGCCAAGAAGAAAAUCUCUAAGGGUUUUUUUUAAAAAAAGGAAUGGAUAGAUCACCUGAUGUGGAUGAGAAUGGGAAGCCUUUAGCAGUUUCAUCAAAGUGUAAAAAUACAUUCUUAAAGAAACAAGAAAAUUUUUAAAUGAGGCAAUGAUUAGCCCCAGGAAAAAUAAGAGGUUGUUUAGUUGUAGCAUACCAAGUGGUUCAUUUGCGGACAAGAUUUACAUAGUCAUAACAUGGGAUAUUAGGAGUAAGGGGAGGCAAAUUCACAUGGGAAGUGGGGUAGGAGACAUGGAAGAAAAGGCAGCAAUUAAAAAAAAUAACUAUAAGCCUUAUGGAACUAUGUGGGUUUUAAAAUAUAAAUAUAUAUAUUUAAGAUUAAAUUUUUAAAAACAUUUUUUAAUUUUUUUAAUUUUUUAUUUUUUUGGCACUGGGGAUUGAACCCAGGGUAUUUAACCACUAAGUUAUAUUCCCAGAACUUUCCCUUUUUAUUUUAAGAAAGACUCUCUUGUUAAGUUGCUGAGAGUUAAAUUGCUGAGAUUAGCUUUGAACUUGUGAUCCUCCUGCCUCAGACUCCUGAAUUGCUGGGAUUACAGGCAUGUACCAUAGCACCCGGCUUAGAUCCUAACAUUCUAAAGCUAUAUACCCUGAUAUUUUUGCAAAUCUCCAAAUUCACAAAUACUAUUAUGGCAUUUCACAAAAAUUGCUAGAGGUAGAGGCCAACAUGGAUCCACGACUUACCAGGCUCAACCACUUGUUCAGGCUAAAGUUGUUCAGGAUCCUGGGAAAUAAAUGAAAUGGAAAACUCUAAAUUCACCAAAACCAAGGGUCUACUAUGGCAACUGAGAAUAAUAUGCCAUUUUGCUAGCAUUAUACCUGGAAAUAAAUAUUGGAAUGAUGUAUCCAAGCAGUAGCCACAUGUUGGCCAUAUUCUUUUACUUUUUUUUUUUUAACUUUUGAUGACUUUUCUUUUUUUUUUAAUAUUUUUUUAAUAUUUAUUUCUUAGUUUUCGGCAGACACAACAUCUUUGUUUGUAUGUGGUGCUGAGGAUCAAACCCGGGCCGCACGCAUGCCAGGCGAGCGCGCUACCGCUUGAGCCACAUCCCCAGCCCAUUUGAUGACUUUUCAACAACAAAAUAUAUCACCUGAACACACUUUCCCAAUGAAGAUGUCUGCUGUUUACUAUCAGAUGUGGGAGAGCUAGACAGACAAGGAGGCAGCCACUGCCACGUACCUACUUGCUUUGCCAAGAUUUCCUGCUGACAGCAAAGAGCCAACAGUGGUGGGCAGCAGCAGAUACCAUACUGGACCCCUGCCCAACUCACUCAGGGACCAAGAGCUCAAGAUUUUGAGGAGAUUAAACAAAAAUGUAAUUACAGCUCACAGGUCUGGUAGCCUCUACCUUCCAAAGUAAACUCAUAUACUAGUAAGUGCCAAAUUCAAAAAGUGACCACUUUGUAGCAAUAACAAGGGAGAAACAUUCUGGUUUGAAACAAAAGGGAGUUGUUGCAGAAGCUGUACAAGCCCCAGAGUUGCACUAAGAAACUAGAGACCAUGUAAAACUGGGCCCUAUCAGAAAAGCAGCAGACAUUCAGCUUAUUGUUUCUCUCCUAGAGAGAACAGAGUUGGCAAUGUUGCAGCAGCAGUGUGGGUGACAGUAUUGGAGGUAAGUGGUGGAAGUAAUAAUAAAAGACAGUUCAGUUACUCAAGUCCUCUACAUUCCUGCAGUUAUUAAGCUAAGUACUUUUUAUGUACAAUCUUCAAAACAACCCUGCCAGGUAAGAUUUGCUACUUCCAAACUAAACAGCAUUUCAACCCAAAAUUUUAAUUUUAAAGAAUGUAAUAUUCUUUUCAAUGUUUUUCUUUUGCAACAAACAGAAGUUAUGAGAAAAAAAUAGCUUACUUUUAAUAUGUCAAUUAAAUCUUGAAUAUAAGAAGAAACCACCUCCCUUUUCCCCAAAAGGUCAUUCACUAAAAUAUUCAGUCCCUACUUUCUAUAGAACAAGCAUAAAUAGCAAAAAGAAAUUAUGGUCACAGAAGCAGCACUUUGAGGGAAUUGUCCAAAGGCCCAGAGACUUUUGAGAAGAGGCUACUGAGGUAGCUAAAAUGACCCCAACAAAGACAGAAGUUUAAGUAAUAUAAGAAGAUGGGUAAACAGUGCAUAUAAUCUUUUAACUUUCCAUAAGCCCUACACUCAAACCUCCAUAUAAUUCUUGAGAUCAACAAAUGUUCCUCCAGGCUCUUCUCAAAAUACUUUAGGGCUGCUGGGGACUCCUGUUAUGCCUUGUUAGCAGGUCAUCUUUAGGGCAAUAAAGAAGAUUCAAGAUUCCUGCUCUCCAGGGGCUCUGGAAGUUCUGAAUGGUAACAAGAGAUGAUCAAAACUUGAAAAGACACCUGUCUUUUACUUACAUCCGUGUACAAUUAUCUUUUGGAGAUACUCCAAACUAAGUUUUCUUCAAUAGCCACCUACUUUCAUCCCAAUAUAAUCAUUAAAUUUAUGAUCGUUUGGAUUGGCAAGAAAAUCAAAUCCACCAAGAUCAAAGUUAAUCAGAGCCAAAAAAAAUUGCACCAAUUAUUCAACUGUCCCUCUCCAAUAUCAAGUGUGUCAGAAAGCAUCUCAGUAUAAAUCAGAAUUCUCAAUUAAGUUACAAUGAACUUAAGCUAAUUUAAACAGAAAGAGAUUUGUGAUUAGAUAUUAGGACAAUCACAAAAUCUCUAAAAGGACAUGAAAACUAUACUUGGAUGCCCCAAAGCCAGAAAGGAAUACCCAAAGACAUCUAGGAACCAUUCUAGAGAAAGCACUACUGCCACUGUCCAUUCUAUCACAUGUUGCUUUGCAAGUCCCUUGCUCUAGCUUACUACUCAGAAGAGUACCUGCCAUUGUUGCCUUCUAGACCAGAAAUGUCCAAUAGAACUUUUAUGAUGAUAGAAAUGUUCUGUUGUUAUGCUGUAUACUAGUUACAUAGCUACUGAGCUCUUGAAUGUAGCUAGUGAGACAAAGGAGCUGAACUUUUUAUUUCCAUUAAUUUUAAUUAAUUUAAAUGGUUACAGUUUUGAACAGAGUAGUCUAAAUGCUCAAUACUGUCCAUGGCUCACAUCUGCAUCCCAACUCCACUCAGAUAUAUAUGCAGAACCAAGGGAAUCUAGUUCUUAUAGUGUACUGUAGUAACUAUGAUUCUACCUUAGGAAACAGGGACUCACAAUUUGCAGGCUAACCAAAUGUAACCCCGAAUGAAAGAUUUUCAAAAGAUUCUGGGCAGCUGCAAAUGAUACACACACACUAUGAUAGCCCUCUGAAAACUAGAGCUCCUCCAAGUAUAUGUAAUGUGCAGGUGACUUUGGAAAUGCCUAGUUUUACUGGGUAAGAGGUGAUUGUUCCAGAAGUGAAGGAAUCAAAACAAGAAAAGGACAGAAGAGUUGAUUUUUAUACUGUGUAGAUGUGCAGGCAAUGUAAAAAUUUUCAACUAGUCUUUUAUUAAGCCCUGACUAUGACUCUGCCUGGGGUGUGCUAAGAAAUAGAGUGAAUUUUAAACAGAAUAGGGACAAAACUCUAGGGAAUGGAGAAGUGAUUUUUAAAAAUUGUUUGCCUAUUUUUAGUAAUGAACAAUUACAUUGGUUUCCUAAUUAGUGCUCAAUAAAGUGACAGCAUAACAAUAAUUUUUUAAAAAUUUAUAUGUCAACAUUUCACAAAAAAAUAAUUAUUUUCAAAAAAUGAAUUGAGGGCUGGGGUUGUGGCUCAGUAGUAGAGCACUUGCCUAGCAUGUGUGAGGCACUGGGUUUGAUUCUCAGCAUCACAUAUAAAUAAAUAAAAUAAAGGUCCAUUGACAACUGAAAAGUGUAUAUAUAUAUUAUAUAUAUAUAUAUAUAUAUAUAUAUAUAUAUAUAUUUUUUUUUUUUUUUUUGGAUACAAUACAGGAUAUAUUGGUGUGUGUGUGACUGAGAAGGAGACAGCAUACUAGAAGCCCUCAUGAAUGCAGGGACCGCCACUUGUCCAGGGGACCACGAUUGGGGAUAUAUUUGACCCCACAGCCAUCAGGAAUGAGCUGCUUCUCAGUCACCAUGUCUUCAAAUUCAUCAGCAUUAAAUUUGGUAAAGCCCUACUUCUUUGAGAUGUGGAUCUUCUGGCAGCCAGGGAACUUGAACUUGGCCCUGCGUAGGGCCUCAAUCACAUGUUCCUUGUUCUAUAGCUUGGUGCGGAUGGACAUGAUGACUUGGCCAAUGUGAACCUUGGCCACUGUUCCCUGGGGUUUCCCAAAGGCACCCCACAUACCUGUUUGGAGCCUAGAUGAGGGACACCAUGAGAUCAGAAAUAUGAACAUCUACUCAAAGUGCUGUCUCCAAGGUCCCUUAGGGCAACCCAUAUGAGAAACACGCUGCAUACACUACCGAGGAGAUUGCUAUUUACAGCCAUUGCACACUGGGCCACCACAAGUAAAGGAACCCAGUUGGCUUAAUUAGCUGCAGAUGAAAAAUAUUUUUAAAAAAAUGAAUGACAUGGUUUUGCAUUUUGCAUCAACAGAAGACAACUGGAUUCUCAUAUUUGCUUCUGCAGUCAGAUCACACAAUACAUGCCUCUGGAAAAUAUCUCUGGAAAACUCCUUUGUACAUUGUUUUAAAAAGUAAGUUAAAUUAUUACUAUGAAAAGUUCCGACCUUACAGAUUCCUUGAAAAAGUCUGGGUGGGGGUAAGACAAGGGUCCCUGGUCCAUACUUAGAGAACAGCUGAUCAGUAAAAUCUCUAACUAUAUUGGAAAGAUGGGGGAAUGAAGGAUGUACAUUAAAAUGCAUACAGAAAAACUGUCAGAAUUAAAAGGAGAGGGCUGGGGAUGUAGCUCAGUUAGUAGGGUGCUUGCCUUGCAUGCCCAAGGCCCUGGGUUCAAUCCCCAGCAACCCCCCCCCCACCACCACACACACAGAGAACUUAAAAGGAGAAAUCAAAUUUGUCAAGAACAAAAGUCUCAUCUGUAACCAAGGAUCACUCAAUAAAUACAGCCUAAAUUAAAAAAUUAAGAAUUAGCUCCAUGCAUAUUAUUUAACAUGCAUAUGUAAUACCC